CCUACGGGGGGCAGCAGUGGGGAAUAUUGCACAAUGGGCGCAAGUCUGAACCAGCCAUGCCGCGUGCAGGAAGACGGCUCUAUGAGUUGUAAACUGCUUUUGUACGAGGGUAAACGCAGAUACGCGUAUCUGUCUGAAAGUAUCGUACGAAUAAGGAUCGGCUAACUCCGUGCCAGCAGCCGCGGUAAUACGGAGGAGUCAAGCGUUAUCCGGAUUUAUUGGGUUUAAAGGGUGCGUAGGCGGUCGGGUAAGUUAGAGGUGAAAGCCCGAGGCUCAACUUCGGAAUUGCAUCUGAUACUAUUCAGCUAGAGAGUAGUUGAGGUAAGCGGAAUGUAUGGUGUAGCGGUGAAAUGCGUAGAGAUCAUACAGAACACCGAUGGCGAAGGCAGCUUACCAAGCUACUUCUGACGUUGAGGCACGAAAGCGUGGGGAGCGAACAGGAUUAGAUACCCGGGUAGUC
Molecule: ribosomal RNA, 460 nt
Filed under: uncultured bacterium
Lineage: Bacteria
Description: partial 16S ribosomal RNA
Rfam family: Bacterial small subunit ribosomal RNA
Source: RNAcentral